RNAcentral lists this ribosomal RNA (465 nucleotides) under Vreelandella stevensii. RNAcentral describes it as "partial 16S ribosomal RNA". It matches the Rfam family "Bacterial small subunit ribosomal RNA", at positions 338 to 795 of the family's 1533-position model. Lineage: Bacteria; Pseudomonadati; Pseudomonadota; Gammaproteobacteria; Oceanospirillales; Halomonadaceae. The record is from RNAcentral.
CCUACGGGAGGCAGCAGUGGGGAAUAUUGGACAAUGGGGGCAACCCUGAUCCAGCCAUGCCGCGUGUGUGAAGAAGGCCCUCGGGUUGUAAAGCACUUUCAGUGAGGAAGAACGCCUGGUGGUUAAUACCCAUCAGGAAAGACAUCACUCACAGAAGAAGCACCGGCUAACUCCGUGCCAGCAGCCGCGGUAAUACGGAGGGUGCGAGCGUUAAUCGGAAUUACUGGGCGUAAAGCGCGCGUAGGUGGCUUGAUAAGCCGGUUGUGAAAGCCCCGGGCUCAACCUGGGAACGGCAUCCGGAACUGUCAAGCUAGAGUGCAGGAGAGGAAGGUAGAAUUCCCAUUGUAGCGGUGAAAUGCGUAGAGAUCGGGAGGAAUACCAGUGGCGAAGGCGGCCUUCUGGACUGACACUGACACUGAGGUGCGAAAGCGUGGGUAGCAAACAGGAUUAGAUACCCUUGUAGUC